RNAcentral lists this unclassified non-coding RNA (248 nucleotides) under plant metagenome. RNAcentral describes it as "partial contains small subunit ribosomal RNA and internal transcribed spacer 1". The record is from RNAcentral.
AAAGUCGUAACAAGGUUUUCCGUAGGUGAACCCUGCGGAAGGAUCAUUUAAACGAGUAAGGGGUCCUGACCGGCCCCGACCCUCCAACCCCUUUUGUCGUUAAAAAAACCACUGUUGCUUUGGCGGGACAGCGGGGUCCCCCAGGGGGCCCGCCGCCGGUCUACGGCCCGGCGAGCGCCUGCCAGAGUCCAACCAUAAAUCUUGUCAUAGAACAGUACGUCUGAGUAAAUUGAUAAAAUCAAUCAAAA